AAGACUAUACUUUCAGGGAUUAUUUCUAUAGUUUGUUAAUUAUUUGUACUAAUAGUAGUAAUUGACACUAACUAGU
Small nucleolar RNA from Homo sapiens (human), 76 nucleotides. It matches the Rfam family "Small nucleolar RNA U3". Rfam says of the family: Small nucleolar RNAs (snoRNAs) are involved in the processing and modification of rRNA in the nucleolus. There are two main classes of snoRNAs: the box C/D class, and the box H/ACA class. The record is from Rfam. Lineage: Eukaryota; Metazoa; Chordata; Mammalia; Primates; Hominidae.